AGUGAACGCUGGCGGUAGGCCUAACACAUGCAAGUCGAACGGCAGCACAGUAAGAGCUUGCUCUUACGGGUGGCGAGUGGCGGACGGGUGAGGAAUAUAUCGGAAUCUACUUUUUCGUGGGGGAUAACGUAGGGAAACUUACGCUAAUACCGCAUACGACCUACGGGUGAAAGCAUGGGAUCUUCGGACCUUGUGCGAUUGAAUGAGCCGAUGUCGGAUUAGCUAGUUGGCGGGGUAAAGGCCCACCAAGGCGACGAUCCGUAGCUGGUCUGAGAGGAUGAUCAGCCACACUGGAACUGAGACACGGUCCAGACUCCUACGGGAGGCAGCAGUGGGGAAUAUUGGACAAUGGGCGCAAGCCUGAUCCAGCCAUACCGCGUGGGUGAAGAAGGCCUUCGGGUUGUAAAGCCCUUUUGUUGGGAAAGAAAAGCAGCAGGUUAAUACCCCGCUGUUCUGACGGUACCCAAAGAAUAAGCACCGGCUAACUUCGUG
Molecule: ribosomal RNA, 492 nt
Filed under: uncultured bacterium
Lineage: Bacteria
Description: partial 16S ribosomal RNA
Rfam family: Bacterial small subunit ribosomal RNA
Source: RNAcentral